Molecule: long non-coding RNA, 263 nt
Filed under: Elaeis guineensis (African oil palm)
Lineage: Eukaryota; Viridiplantae; Streptophyta; Magnoliopsida; Arecales; Arecaceae
Description: long non-coding RNA (EGUI_LNC074588)
Source: RNAcentral
CUCGGAUGAGGUCGGCCCAUCUUUGGCUCGACUUGCACUUGAGCAAGGAGCUUAGGGAUCUCAUUUAGAGGUAUCCUAAGUGACCUAUGUCGGGCUUGGUCGACCUUAUGCUUGGACGAGGCCGGCCUGACUUUUGCUCAACUAACGCUGGAGUGAGGAGCUUAAGGAUCCUGCUCGAGGGUAUCCUAAGUGACCUGGGUCAAGCUUUGGAAACAUCGUGCUUGGAUAUGACCGGUCCGUCUUCAACUUGACUCAACUCAUGC